This is a long non-coding RNA of Pseudopipra pipra, 2605 nucleotides long. RefSeq lists it as uncharacterized. Lineage: Eukaryota; Metazoa; Chordata; Aves; Passeriformes; Pipridae. The record is from RefSeq and is a predicted model, not a curated record. The transcript has 5 exons.
AACAGGCCUUUUUCACUCGGUCUGCGUUUAACCGUUUUGUACAUUGGGAACAGAGCUGGGUCAUAUUCCAAGCUCGGUUAGAGCUCUACUCAAGCCAGUCAUGUCACUUGAAUGUGACGUAGAGAGCAAAUUAAAAUCCCACUCUGGAAAACUGCUCAGCUUCAACCUGUAGUUCUCGGGGGCUUGCUGCUUGUCAAAUGCCAUGUGCAAGGUAAAUGUGACUGAAACUCAGGGACGUGUUCCUGCUGUGAGUGCGCAGAGAGCGCCCGCGCUCCCAGGGGAGGCAGCGAGGAGCUGCAGGAGCUGAUCCUACCCCCAUCUCCUUCCUUGUGCCAGCUGGGGAGAUAUUUUGCAUUAUGCCUUGCUGAGGUUUCUCAAAGAGAAGAGCAUCUGUCCCCACAUGCCAGACAGGUUCCUGUUCUUACGGAGUGCUCAGCUCCUGGGACAGCUGUCAGACCAGCUGCACCAAUCCAUUUCCAAGACCAGCCUGAUCCACAAACAUGACGGAUGAACUAAAAGAGAGGCAGUGUUUUUUCUAGUAAUUUGAAUUUUGCACACACUAUUGUUCAUGAAGGUUCAAGUGAACUCAAGAGUGAUCACUUAAAUCCCAAAGCGCAGCAGGUGUGGACAUAACCAAUAAUGAGAACUAACUACACUGUGAUACCAAACCCAGCUGGUUUAUAGACCAGAAACAGCCUGGACUGUAACAAAGCACCACUCCUCAAAUGCAGCUUUAUUUCCAUUUACAUACAUUUCUGAGAUGAUAAAUGAGGCCAGAAGAGAAGACAGGAGAACCAUGGAAGUUGUGCUUCACCCUGGAAUGGCAGCUGAAGACCAAGUGAGAUACCCAAGAAAGCUAAAAUGUGUGUGUUUAGGCAAGACAUUGACAUCCUUCAGGUUUCGAUGGAUGAUCAUGGGCUAUUUUUCUGCACUCCUUCACAAUCCAUAUUCCACUGCUGAAGGCAAAAUCCUGUUCCUUUUUUUUUUUUACCUCUACAUCACUUCUCAACAUCUUCCAUUAAAAUAAUUGAGAAAAGAAAUUACAGGGGUGGUAAGAUGCAUUGCCAAAAUUACUCAUCUUUGAGGUCUGCUGUGAAUUAUUUGUUCUUGUAUCUCAUUUGAGCUCUAUGACUCUUUCAGCAGCCAAAUGUGCCCAGCAGUUAAAAAAUCAAUAGACUCCUACUGAGGAGUAAGUGUGUUCCCAUCUCCUGCACUGAUUUGUUCUGUAACCUCUGACAGGACCACUUUACUGUUUGGCUCCCAUUUUGAUUGUGAAACUGUAUGCAAUAACAACCCAGAGAGUGCAGUGGCAAUUCUUGAUGUUGGGGAGCAGAGUCUCCUCUCCUCUGAUCAAUGUCCAGCAGCAGCAGAUUGGAGAUAUUUGCCUCCUUUGAUCAUCCUGCCCUUGCCCACCUUGGCCAAUGCUUUUUCUGGAGAGCACCAUGAGACCCACAGGGCAGCAUAAUGCUACCAAGGAUCAAGCUCUGGUGCAAGUCUUGCUGUGAGACCCCUUUCCCCUGCCAAGCCCCAGUGAAACUGUGAGCUGAACAGGAAUUUGCCAGCACAGAAUUUGAUACAGAGCUAACCAGGACCUGUGUUUACAUUAUCACUCUAACGUAGAGCCAAAUCUGUAAGUUUAUGGGUAACUGCAAGUCUUGCUGGCUUUAUCAUCAGGGUAUUUCUGAGAACUGUGUUAAAAAACAGGAUCAUUUACAUGGAUCCCUAUGCAAGACCAUAAACCAGAUUUCUUCCAGACUUAAUACUGCUUUAUAAUCUCUAACAGUUAGCACCCAUACUGUUUGGGUUGCAAGAGACCUAAUUAGUCACCCUUAUGGCUUCCACCAGCAGUAGGGUAAGAGCAGCAGUUUUAAUUAAAAGUUUAUAUGCAAACAUAUCUCACAAUUUCUGUGUAACAAAUGAUUCUCCUCACCCUGUGGUUUCCCUGCUGCUGGUCAGAACAAAAUUCUUGUCUUUGCAGAAUUGAACCUUUUUGUCAAAACACAGGAAGACUGCAGUGAUUAUCACACCUUUAUCUUGGACUUCUGUAUAAGAGCUUCCAGUUCUGAUUCUUCCCUUUCCAUGCAACCCUCUAAAAUGGACUUUUCUCACUUUAUGGAUACCUAAACCAGGCUGUUGCUACAGUUGCUGAUGUAAAUUCUUUCCAUAAACUGAAAGAAAGGCCUGUGUUGCUCUCAUGGAUACCUUCGACCCAUGUAAGUCAGCUUGCACUGUUUGGUGAUCACUUCGUGUAAAAGCACAGCUGUGUAUUGUUCAGCAGAUUGCAUCAAGCCACAUCAUCUACAUGACACUUUUGAAACCUGCAUUCAAAUAAAUUUGAGAAGCUGACCACCUUGUUUCUUAGGUGACUGCCAAAUUCUGAAAGUGCUGAAAGUGGCGGUCAAUUAUCUGUGCGCCUUCCUUGAAGGGCGAGUUUGGUAUCCUGUGUGUGGGAAGAUGUUCUGUCCAAACAAAUGAGGGACUAUUAAGACCAGUACCACCUGGAGGAAGCCCUAGGGUACUAGAGGUGGUUUGGGCAAAUUGUCUUCAGUCAUUUCUGCCUGAUUUCUUCAUGGAGAAGUUCUUGAGCUAUUGCUGUAUAUCUCCU